ACCCCAGUCAAUACUCUUAGAUUUGAGCAUUACAGGGCAAUGAUCCGAAAAGUUCCUAUUGAGCGUGAAUUGUGAGGAGCCAGGCCAUUUGGAUAGCCGUUCUGGAGAAACCAGAAACCUAUCCAACUUGCUCUUAGCAGUGCCAUUUGGUUUGAACCAUGUAAAUCGCUUACCCACCCAAGGUGCUUCUUCUACCUCCAACUUCGCGAUCCAUUCAUGAACUCUUUAAUACUUCCCUCC
RNAcentral lists this long non-coding RNA (240 nucleotides) under Glycine max (soybean). Its description in RNAcentral is "long non-coding RNA (GMAX_LNC003066)". The record is from RNAcentral. Lineage: Eukaryota; Viridiplantae; Streptophyta; Magnoliopsida; Fabales; Fabaceae.